UCCUACGGGAGGCAGCAGUGGGGAAUAUUGCACAAUGGGCGCAAGCCUGAUGCAGCCAUGCCGCGUGUAUGAAGAAGGCCUUCGGGUUGUAAAGUACUUUCAGCGGGGAGGAAGGCGUUGAGGUUAAUAACCUCAGCAAUGACGUACCGCAGAA
RNAcentral lists this ribosomal RNA (154 nucleotides) under Enterobacter sp. NC375. RNAcentral's name for it is "partial 16S ribosomal RNA". It matches the Rfam family "Bacterial small subunit ribosomal RNA", at positions 337 to 486 of the family's 1533-position model. Lineage: Bacteria; Pseudomonadati; Pseudomonadota; Gammaproteobacteria; Enterobacterales; Enterobacteriaceae. The record is from RNAcentral.